This 1190-nucleotide ribosomal RNA is filed under the name Microbacterium sp. 71G. Its description in RNAcentral is "bacterial SSU rRNA". It matches the Rfam family "Bacterial small subunit ribosomal RNA", at positions 156 to 1356 of the family's 1533-position model. Lineage: Bacteria; Bacillati; Actinomycetota; Actinomycetes; Micrococcales; Microbacteriaceae. The record is from RNAcentral.
ACGGCGUCUAAUACCGGAUAUGAGCUGCGAUCGCAUGGUCUGCAGUUGGAAAGAUUUUUCGGUCUGGGAUGGGCUCACGGCCUAUCAGCUUGUUGGUGAGGUAAUGGCUCACCAAGGCGUCGACGGGUAGCCGGCCUGAGAGGGUGACCGGCCACACUGGGACUGAGACACGGCCCAGACUCCUACGGGAGGCAGCAGUGGGGAAUAUUGCACAAUGGGCGGAAGCCUGAUGCAGCAACGCCGCGUGAGGGAUGACGGCCUUCGGGUUGUAAACCUCUUUUAGCAGGGAAGAAGCGAAAGUGACGGUACCUGCAGAAAAAUUUUUUGUCUAACUACGUGCCAGCAGCCGCGGUAAUACGUAGGGCGCAAGCGUUAUCCGGAAUUAUUGGGCGUAAAGAGCUCGUAGGCGGUUUGUCGCGUCUGCUGUGAAAUCCCGAGGCUCAACCUCGGGCCUGCAGUGGGUACGGGCAGACUAGAGUGCGGUAGGGGAGAUUGGAAUUCCUGGUGUAGCGGUGGAAUGCGCAGAUAUCAGGAGGAACACCGAUGGCGAAAGGCAGAUCUCUGGGCCGUAACUGACGCUGAGGAGCGAAAGGGUGGGGAGCAAACAGGCUUAGAUACCCUGGUAGUCCACCCCGUAAACGUUGGGAACUAGUUGUGGGGUCCAUUCCACGGAUUCCGUGACGCAGCUAACGCAUUAAGUUCCCCGCCUGGGGAGUACGGCCGCAAGGCUAAAACUCAAAGGAAUUGACGGGGACCCGCACAAGCGGCGGAGCAUGCGGAUUAAUUCGAUGCAACGCGAAGAACCUUACCAAGGCUUGACAUACACCAGAACGCCCUAGAAAUAGGGAACUCUUUGGACACUGGUGAACAGGUGGUGCAUGGUUGUCGUCAGCUCGUGUCGUGAGAUGUUGGGUUAAGUCCCGCAACGAGCGCAACCCUCGUUCUAUGUUGCCAGCACGUAAUGGUGGGAACUCAUGGGAUACUGCCGGGGUCAACUCGGAGGAAGGUGGGGAUGACGUCAAAUCAUCAUGCCCCUUAUGUCUUGGGCUUCACGCAUGCUACAAUGGCCGGUACAAAGGGCUGCAAUACCGCGAGGUGGAGCGAAUCCCAAAAAGCCGGUCCCAGUUCGGAUUGAGGUCUGCAACUCGACCUCAUGAAGUCGGAGUCGCUAGUAAUCGCAGAUCAGCAAC